This 1597-nucleotide long non-coding RNA is filed under the name Salmo salar (Atlantic salmon). Its description in RNAcentral is "lncRNA (ENSSSAG00000119466.1)". Lineage: Eukaryota; Metazoa; Chordata; Actinopteri; Salmoniformes; Salmonidae. The record is from RNAcentral.
GACCUCCCUCUACCCCAGGCCUUGUUACCAAUGGUACUGAUGGAACUCCCUCUACCCCAGGCCUUGUUACCAAUGGUACUGAUUGACAUUCCUCUAUCCUAGGCCUUGUUAUCAAGGCUACUGAUGGACCUCCCUCUACCCCAGGCCUUGUUACCAAGGCUACUGAUGGACCUCCCUCUACCCCAGGUCUUGUUACCAAGGCUACUGAUGGACCUCCCUCUACCCCAGGUCUUGUUACCAAGGCUACUGAUGGACCUCCCUCUAAUGUCUAUUUCAGGAGUGUUUACUGUCUCCAGUUUGUUUAAUAAAAUGUUGAACUUAAACUUUUGGUAGUUGAAUGUAUUUUGUACAUGAUCAAUUCAUUUUACACAUCAGAUUAUGGAUAUACCUCAAAUGUUAUUCUACAAGAUCCAGACACAAAACUUCUGGAUCAAUCGUUAAACUACAUGGUUUACUAUGUGUGAUGAUGGAUACUGUAUACCUCUGUGUGCUGUGUAGGUCUACUAUGAUGGAUACUGUAUACCUCUGUGUGCUGUGUAGUUCUACUGUGAUGGAUACUGUACCUCUGUGUGCUGUGUAGGUCUACUAUGAUGGAUACUGUAUACCUCUGUGUGCUGUGUAGGUCUACUAUGAUGGAUACUGUAUACCUCUGUGUGCUGUGUAGGUCUACUAUAAUGGAUACUGUAUACCUCUGUGUGCUGUGUAGGUCUACUAUGAUGGGUACUGUAUACCUCUGUGUGCUGUGUAGGUCUACUAUAAUGGAUACUGUAUACCUCUGUGUGCUGUGUAGGUCUACUAUGAUGGGUACUGUAUAGCUCUGUGUGCUGUGUAGGUCUACUAUGAUGGAUACUAUGAUUGACAAAGCAAAAGAACAUAACAUCAUGUUAGAAAUAGUCUUUAUAGAAUGUGGUUUGUAUAUUUUGUAGCCAUUGUAGCCUAACUAUUCAUAACAAUGUUUUAAAUGCAGCUAUGCUGCAUGAUGUCAACUACACAGAGGAAAUGUUAAAUAAAAUACAGCAAACAUUUAUUUAUCUUUUGUUCAAAUGCACACAGUCAUGGUGCUACUAUGUAGUGAAGACGUGGCUGUAGAUGAAGGCAGACCCCCACGCCUCUCUGAUUCAGAGGGUUAAAAAUGGAAGACACAUUUCAAUACAUUCACUUGGACAACUGACUAGGUAUCCCCCUUUCCCUUUUCCCUUUAGUUCAUAUUGUACUUGACUUGGUGAUGGAAGAGGGAAACAUGACACAUCCCUUUUAUAUGCAUUACAUUCCCAUGCAACUCUACACUAGUGUCAUGACUUCCGCCGAGGUCGGUCCCUCUCCAUGUUCGGGUGGCGUUUGGCGGUCGACGUCACCGGUCUUCUAGCCAUCGCCGAUCCACCUUUCAUUUUCCAUGAGUUUUUUUCUUGUUUUCCCGCACACCUGGUUUGCAUUCCCUCAUUACUCGUCUUGCAUAUAACCCUCUGUUUCCCCCCAUGUCUGUGUGUGGAAUUGUUAUGUGUAAAUGUAUGUGUACUCCAGGGUGGUUUGCGCCAGGUUAUUGUAACCCGUGUGUGGUUAGUUUUCUGAGUGCUGUGUUUUGUUCGCCUCAAUAAAG